This 369-nucleotide unclassified non-coding RNA is filed under the name Hevea brasiliensis (rubber tree). The record is from RNAcentral. Lineage: Eukaryota; Viridiplantae; Streptophyta; Magnoliopsida; Malpighiales; Euphorbiaceae.
GUCCCUUGGUCCAGAUACUAGGAUGACAUAUUGUUACAAUGUCUAAGAGAGUAUUUGGCUUAACUUAUGAAAAUUAACUAAUAAGCACUAAGAGCUUCUAAACUAAUUUGAGCUUCUAAGCAUUUAAAAAUUUAAGUAGUUAUAUGUUUGGUUAAAGUGUUUAUAAAAAUUUGACAAGCAAUUGACAUGUUUGGUAAAAAAAUGCUUGUAAUUAUAGUUAACAUGACUAAAAAGGACACUAAGUUCAAAAAUUUAAAAUAAGGGUACAUAGUGAAACUUUUAAAAAUUAAAAGGGAGUAAUGUGAUAAUGUACUUAGUCAAACUAGAUUACAAGCAUAGUAUUUAUAAGUACCAAAAUGAAAAGUUAGU